CCUCUUAGGGUUUCCUCUGGGGUAAGUGAUUGCUUCUACACUGUGAAAAUUUGGCUGAGAGACUCAGACUGGUCAUGGGUAGACCUAUCUGGGGUUUGAUCGAUGCCACUCCUGGUUUCAGGAGCACCCUUCAUAAUAAACCUAGAAAUUCAGUAUUAUAAAGUUUAAUAAAAAACAACUUUUAACAAUGGAUCUCUUGGUUCUCGCAUCGAUGAAGAACGUAGCAAAGUGCGAUAACUAGUGUGAAUUGCAUAUUCAGUGAAUCAUCGAGUCUUUGAACGCAGCUUGCACUCUAUGGUUUUUCUAUAGAGUACGCCUGCUUCAGUAUCAUCACAAACCCACACAUAACAUUUGUUUAUGUGGUAAUGGGUCGCAUCGCUGUUUUAUUACAGUGAGCACCUAAAAUGUGUGUGAUUUUCUGUCUGGCUUGCUAGGCAGGAAUAUUACGCUGGUCUCAGGAUCUUUUUCUUUGGUUCGCCCAGGAAGUAAAGUACAAGAGUAUAAUCCAGCAACUUUCAAACUAUGAUCUGAAGUCAGGUGGGAUUACCCGCUGAACUUAAGCAUAUCAAUAAGCGGA
Molecule: ribosomal RNA, 577 nt
Filed under: Rhizopus arrhizus
Lineage: Eukaryota; Fungi; Mucoromycota; Mucoromycetes; Mucorales; Rhizopodaceae
Description: eukaryotic LSU rRNA
Rfam family: 5.8S ribosomal RNA (bases 177-330)
Source: RNAcentral